RNAcentral lists this ribosomal RNA (492 nucleotides) under uncultured bacterium. RNAcentral's name for it is "partial 16S ribosomal RNA". It matches the Rfam family "Bacterial small subunit ribosomal RNA", at positions 29 to 507 of the family's 1533-position model. The record is from RNAcentral.
AGUGAACGCUGGCGGUAGGCCUAACACAUGCAAGUCGAACGGCAGCACAGUAAGAGCUUGCUCUUACGGGUGGCGAGUGGCGGACGGGUGAGGAAUACAUCGGAAUCUACUUUUUCGUGGGGGAUAACGUAGGGAAACUUACGCUAAUACCGCAUACGACCUACGGGGGAAAGCAGUGGAUCUUCUGACCUUGCGCGAUUGAAUGAGCCGAUGUCGGAUUAGCUAGUUGGCGGGGUAAAGGCCCACCAAGGCGACGAUCCGUAGCUGGUCUGAGAGGAUGAUCAGCCACACUGGAACUGAGACACGGUCCAGACUCCUACGGGAGGCAGCAGUGGGGAAUAUUGGACAAAGGGCGCAAGCCUGAUCCAGCCAUACCGCGUGGGUGAAGAAGGCCUUCGGGUUGUAAAGCCCUUUUGUUGGGAAAGAAAAGCAGCAGGUUAAUACCCCGCUGUUCUGACGGUACCCAAAGAAUAAGCACCGGCUAACUUCGUG